Long non-coding RNA from Melospiza melodia melodia, 451 nucleotides. RefSeq lists it as uncharacterized. The transcript has 3 exons. The record is from RefSeq and is a predicted model, not a curated record. Lineage: Eukaryota; Metazoa; Chordata; Aves; Passeriformes; Passerellidae.
AUUAAACUUUGGUCUUUAUUGAAUUUUCUAUCCUUUUUAAGGUAUUUCUCCAAGCUACUGUUGACCUCUGGUCAAUGAAAACACAAACUUGAUGUCAUCUGGGAGGUGAACAACAUUCACAAAUUUUAGAGAUUCUUCAGAAGAAGCUAAUGCUACACACUGAAUACCUUGCAUUAAGUGGGUGGGACAAAUGCAAAGGACUGGUCCCUCUGCCAUCCCACAUCAGGUCACCUGCACAGCUACUCACAGCUAGCCUCAACACAAUUCUCAGAAGCUGCCUCCAACACCAGCUCUGUUCUCAUGGAAAAAUAUCAUCAUAUCUAAGGUGGGACAAGAUUGUUUUGUCAGUCUCUGAAGAUCCCAAAGCAGACCUUUGCUGUGCCAGAUUCUUGCUGCAUGUCACCUGCUUUUCAGCUGCACAGGGUUCCCACUUGACUGAACAAAAGAGGAG